Molecule: ribosomal RNA, 253 nt
Filed under: uncultured bacterium
Lineage: Bacteria
Description: partial 16S ribosomal RNA
Rfam family: Bacterial small subunit ribosomal RNA
Source: RNAcentral
UACGUAGGGAGCGAGCGUUAUCCGGGAUUAUUGGGUGUAAAGGGUGCGUAGACGGGAAAGCAAGUUAGUUGUGAAAUCCCUCGGCUUAACUGAGGAACCGCAACUAAAACUACUUUUCUUGAGUGCAGGAGAGGUAAGUGGAAUUCCUAGUGUAGCGGUGAAAUGCGUAGAUAUUAGGAGGAACACCAGUGGCGAAGGCGACUUACUGGACUGUAACUGACGUUGAGGCACGAAGGUGUGGGGAGCAAACAGG